GAUGAAGAACGCAGUGAAAUGCGAUAAUUAAUGUGAAUUGCAGAAUUCAGUGAAUCAUCGAGUCUUUGAACGCACAUUGCGCCCCCUGGUAUUCCGGGGGGCAUGCCUGUCCGAGCGUCAUUGCUGCCCUCAAGCACGGCUUGUGUGUUGGGCUUCCGUCCCUGGCAACGGGGACGGGCCCAAAAGGCAGUGGCGGUACCAUGUCUGGUCCUCGAGCGUAUGGGGCUUUGUCACCCGCUCCCGUAGGUCCAGCUGGCAGCUAGCCUCGCAACCAAUCUUUUUAACCAGGUUGACCUCGGAUCAGGUAGGGAUACCCGCUGAACUUAAGCAUAUCAAUAAGCGGAGGA
RNAcentral lists this unclassified non-coding RNA (347 nucleotides) under soil metagenome. Its description in RNAcentral is "partial contains 5.8S ribosomal RNA, internal transcribed spacer 2, and large subunit ribosomal RNA". The stretch from base 1 to 120 matches the Rfam family "5.8S ribosomal RNA", at positions 35 to 154 of the family's 154-position model. The record is from RNAcentral.